CCACGAUCGUGCCGUCCUACAAAUCUGUCAGCAUCUCCUCCUCCUCGUCUGAUGCUGGACUUCGUGGUUCAUCGGAACCACACGCUUGCCUUCUUCUCCGAGUUGUUCUUUCCCUACCCGCUUCUGCCAAUCAGUGAUGGCGAGUAGACUGUGGAAGAUGUAUGCCGACCGGCAGUUCUACAAAUGGGAAAAGACAGUCCUUUGGGAUCUGAUCGAGCCAUAUAGGCGUCCCAAAUCCUUCACCCCUCUUAUCUCGAUCUAUGUUGCUGCCUUCUACACAGGGGUUAUCGGAUCCGCCAUUACCGAGCAGCUUUAUAAGGAAAAAUACUGGGAAGAACAUCCAGGUGAAGCGGUGCCUAUCAUGAGGCCAAAAUUCUAUUGGGGCCCCUGGAAAGUGUAUCAAGGAGGGGAACUUCCUCCAAAUAUGUGAACUUAAUAGUUUCUUGGAUCGUCUUGUUAUUUGGAGUAGAUGGACGCUGCAAGCUGAUUGUGGUUGCAGAUUGGCGUGAUAAUGGUCUUCACUGGUACAAAAGUUCAACUAGAUUUAUCUUGUAUUGUUCAUUUCACAUUUAUGUUUGUGUAUGUACACAUUAAUAGGACUAACUUUAGGACUUCAACAUGAACCUGAAGACCCCGAGAAUCCAAGUACUAUAUUUGUCUUGUGUGAUAGUUUUAGAUACGAUCAUUAUUUUUGAUUUGAUAUGAAAUUCAAUCUAUGAUGAAGAACCUGUUUGGUGUA
Molecule: non-coding RNA, 739 nt
Organism: Musa acuminata subsp. malaccensis (wild Malaysian banana)
Lineage: Eukaryota; Viridiplantae; Streptophyta; Magnoliopsida; Zingiberales; Musaceae
Source: RefSeq, a predicted model, not a curated record